AGAUUUGAUCCUGGCUCAGGAUGAACGCUGGCGGCGUGCUUAACACAUGCAAGUCGAACGAAGCACUUUAUUACGAUUUCUUCGGAAUGACGAUUUAGUGACUGAGUGGCGGACGGGUGAGUAACGCGUGGGUAACCUGCCUCAUACAGGGGGAUAACAGUUGGAAACGACUGCUAAUACCGCAUAAGCGCACAGCAUCGCAUGAUGCAGUGUGAAAAACUCCGGUGGUAUGAGAUGGACCCGCGUCUGAUUAGCUAGUUGGUGAGGUAACGGCCCACCAAGGCGACGAUCAGUAGCCGACCUGAGAGGGUGACCGGCCACAUUGGGACUGAGACACGGCCCAGACUCCUACGGGAGGCAGCAGUGGGGAAUAUUGCACAAUGGGGGAAACCCUGAUGCAGCGACGCCGCGUGAACGAAGAAGUAUUUCGGUAUGUAAAGUUCUAUCAGCAGGGAAGAUAAUGACGGUACCUGACUAAGAAGCCCCGGCUAACUACGUGCCAGCAGCCGCGGUAAUACGUAGGGGGCAAGCGUUAUCCGGAUUUACUGGGUGUAAAGGGAGCGCAGGCGGCAGGCCAAGUCUGAUGUGAAAGCCCGGGGCUCAACCCCGGAACUGCAUUGGAAACUGGUCAGCUAGAGUGUCGGAGAGGUAAGUGGAAUUCCUAGUGUAGCGGUGAAACGCGUAGAUAUUA
Molecule: ribosomal RNA, 691 nt
Filed under: uncultured bacterium
Lineage: Bacteria
Description: bacterial SSU rRNA
Rfam family: Bacterial small subunit ribosomal RNA
Source: RNAcentral